UACGUAGGGUGCGAGCGUUGUCCGGAAUCACUGGGUGUAAAGGGAGCGCAGGCGGGUCGGCAAGUCCUUGGUGAAAUCCGGAGGCUUAACCUCAGGACUGCCAAUGAUACUGCUGAUCUUGAGUACAGAAGAGGAAGACGGAAUUCCUGGUGUAGCGGUGAAAUGCGUAGAUAUCAGGAAGAACACCGGUGGCGAAGGCGGUCUUCUGGUCUGUAACUGACGCUCAUGCUCGAAAGCGUGGGGAGCAAACAGG
Molecule: ribosomal RNA, 253 nt
Filed under: uncultured bacterium
Lineage: Bacteria
Description: partial 16S ribosomal RNA
Rfam family: Bacterial small subunit ribosomal RNA
Source: RNAcentral